CGCUUGCUACCGUGGAGGCCCCCGACGAGACGCGCCGUACCGGGACAGGGACCGUCAGGCCCGUACGCAAAGACGACGCACC
Molecule: non-coding RNA, 82 nt
Filed under: Streptomyces nodosus
Lineage: Bacteria; Bacillati; Actinomycetota; Actinomycetes; Kitasatosporales; Streptomycetaceae
Source: RNAcentral